RNAcentral lists this ribosomal RNA (272 nucleotides) under uncultured soil bacterium. RNAcentral's name for it is "partial 16S ribosomal RNA". It matches the Rfam family "Bacterial small subunit ribosomal RNA", at positions 26 to 285 of the family's 1533-position model. The record is from RNAcentral.
AGAAUCAACGCUGGCGGCGUGCCUAACACAUGCAAGUCGAGCGCGAAAGGGGAGCAAUCCCCAAGUAGAGCGGCGAACGGGUGAGUAACGCGUGGGUAAUCUACCUCUGAGUGGGGAAUAACAGCGGGAAACUGCUGCUAAUACCGCAUGACAUCGUCUAGCCUUCGGGUCUGACGAUCAAAGCCGGGACCGCAAGGCCUGGCGCUUGGAGACGAGCCCGCGUCCGAUUAGCUAGUUGGCGGGGUAAUGGCCCACCAAGGCUUCGAUCGGUA